This 63-nucleotide microRNA precursor is filed under the name Picea abies (Norway spruce). Its description in RNAcentral is "miR11420d stem-loop (pab-MIR11420d)". The record is from miRBase by way of RNAcentral. Lineage: Eukaryota; Viridiplantae; Streptophyta; Pinopsida; Pinales; Pinaceae.
ACCAGUUUGGUACCGAACCGGCUGAGUCGAAGAACAACUCGGCCAGUUCGGUACCAAACCGGU